CAAUAGCGUAUAUUAAAGUUGUUGCGGUUAAAAAGCUCGUAGUUGGAUUUCUGCCGAGGACGACCGGUCCGCCCUCUGGGUGUGUAUCUGGUUUGGCCUGGGCAUCUUCUUGGAGAACGUAGCUGCACUUGACUGUGUGGUGCGGUGUCCAGGACUUUUACUUUGAGGAAAUUAGAGUGUUUCAAGCAGGCACACGCCUUGAAUACAUUAGCAUGGAAUAAUAAGAUAGGACCUCGGUUCUAUUUUGUUGGUUUCUAGAGCUGAGGUAAUGAUUAAUAGGGAUAGUUGGGGGCAUUCGUAUUUAACUGUCAGAGGUGAAAUUCUUGGAUUUAUGAAAGACGAACUACUGCGAAAGCAUUUGCCAAGGAUGUUUUCAUUAA
Molecule: ribosomal RNA, 380 nt
Filed under: uncultured eukaryote
Lineage: Eukaryota
Description: partial 18S ribosomal RNA
Rfam family: Eukaryotic small subunit ribosomal RNA
Source: RNAcentral